Non-coding RNA from Rattus norvegicus (Norway rat), 1618 nucleotides. NCBI's taxonomy places the organism in Eukaryota, Metazoa, Chordata, Mammalia, Rodentia, Muridae. The record is from RefSeq and is a predicted model, not a curated record.
UGUAGAUGUAUUGCUUAGGGGCAAGCUGCCCAUGAUCUGUUGUUGAUCUCUGCCUUGUGUCCAAUUGGGGCUUUAAACAAUGGUUCACUUGUGCAAAGAGAAGCUUCUUGGAUGAGGGAAAAUAAUAAGAAGGAACCUGGAGUCCGUGCACAGCAUUCAAGGACUGAACCAGCGUUGAACUAACAAGAACCAUUCUUUUGAAAGGCACCUAGAGAUUUCCUCGCUUGCAAAGUUGCUCUGGACUGAAAGUUAUCAUAGGAACUGUGAAGCUACCAAGGGUGAGCAGAAAAGGAGCCAGCAUUGCUCCAAGGCAGCUUCUUUCUGAGGAAGGCCCUUCAUAAGAAACAUGCCAACUGUACCUCACACAUAUUGGGUACGCGGAACCUAAACUUCUCCUAACCUUAGCUUCAUGUUAUUGCCAGCACCUGGGUACCAUGAGAGCCAGUUCUUCUAGAACCUGAUAGGUAGCAAAGAAUCACUACUGUAGAUGCUGCAGCCAUUGGGUUGACUUCGGUUUUGAUUUCAAAGAGCCUUUUAUGUUGUUUGUACUCUCAUAUAAUAUGAAAAGCACAACACACACAUAAGCUACACCCACUACAACUAUUGAAAUGACAGCUCAGCAGAACCUUCAGUGGCUUCAGUCCCCCCCAGCCCUGCCCAACCCCACACCAACAGAACUAACAUCACUAAGAACUGCCCUUGGACACAUCGCCUUAAUCAUAGCAGUGAUGAAGGAUGUGACAAAUGAACUAAAAGCUGCCAAACAACAAGGACUCCAUGGGUCUGUAACAAAGACAAGAAAGAAAAGGCUUCAUCCAGUGUUUUAGGAUUACAUGACCCAAUGCCUGGUGAUCAUUUUGAAUGAGUUUGAAUUCAAUACCAGAACACUAAGUGGCUGCUACUGGACAUUUGUCAAGUACAUGAUAAACAUGUCACUAAGUAAGGAAAGGAGAUGAGCAUCAUGGCCCGUUGCUUAGUGGAUACACAGGGUAGCAACCAGAAAGAAAGGGAUGUAGAGUAAGGGUGUGGCAUGCGGUGGUGGAAGAACAGGUCAGGAGGAGCACAGUACACAGUUUAAUAAAAGGAAGGGGUGCAUGAAAUGCUGUGGGGGUGAAGCUGGUGGGAAGAAAUUCUUAUUUUUCACUUCCCAGAUAUCCAAGUCCAGGUAUGAAAUCUUCAGUCUUCUGUGCAGGUCACCUGGACCUCCAUGAUCCUUCAACACUCAGAGGAAUUACAAGUCUCACAACCUGAACAAAGUCAGUACACGUCAGCGCCGCUUGUAAAUCAUGCCAGACGUGACUUUUGUCGAUUCGUUUUGUUUCUAGCAAGAUGGAAAACCAUUAAUACGGUCUUUAACUUUAAAGCAGACUUGUGAGCGCCGAGAUAAAAUACUAAGAAUUCUCUCUGACUGAACGAAGAAACAAUAAAACGAGCUGAUUCUAUUUGUGGAUAACAAAACCCUUCUCAAGAAGGAGCACACACUUCCUUAAGUGCUAAUCAUCCUACCCAGUCUCACUCACUGACUUAAAAAACAGGUUUCUCACAGUGUCUGAAGUAAGGCAGACUUGCAAUAAGAAGGUAUAUAAUUCCUUUCAAAUAAAUGUGGGCACUGACUCUA